CGCCACGCCCGCUACAAGAAACGUUAAAGGAAUUGACGGGACCCCGCACAAGCGGUGGAUCAUGUUGUUUAAUUCGAUGAUACGCGAAGAACCUUACCAGGUCUUGACAUCCCCCGCGAUGCUUUAGAGAUAAAGCGGAGGUAUUCGGGGAGACAGGUGGUGCAUGGUUGUCGUCAGCUCGUGUCGUGAGAUGUUGGGUUAAGUCCCGCAACGAGCGCAACCCCUAUUGCUAGUUACCAUCAUUAAGUUGGGGACUCUAGCGAGACUGCCAGUGAUAAACUGGAGGAAGGUGGGGAUGACGCCAAAUCAUCAUGCCCCUUAUGACCUGGGCUACAAACGUGAUACAAUGGCUGGAACAAAGGGAUGCGAAGCAGUGAUGUGGAGCGAAACCCAUAAAAACAGUCUCAGUUCGGAUUGAAGUCUGCAACUCGACUUCAUGAAGUCGGAAUCGCUAGUAAUCGCGGAUCAGAACGCCGCGGUGAAUACGUUCUCGGGGUUU
Molecule: ribosomal RNA, 499 nt
Filed under: uncultured Acholeplasma sp.
Lineage: Bacteria; Bacillati; Mycoplasmatota; Mollicutes; Acholeplasmatales; Acholeplasmataceae
Description: bacterial SSU rRNA
Rfam family: Bacterial small subunit ribosomal RNA
Source: RNAcentral